AUGCCUUAAACUUAUCAGUAAGGAAAAUGAGUUGAGGUGAUAUCUGAAUCCUCACUGCUAAUGUGAGAUGAAUUUUUGAGUGGGUAAAGGUUGCUCCUAAGGUGACCUCCCCC
Molecule: small nuclear RNA, 113 nt
Organism: Delphinapterus leucas (beluga whale)
Lineage: Eukaryota; Metazoa; Chordata; Mammalia; Artiodactyla; Monodontidae
Gene: U12
Rfam family: U12 minor spliceosomal RNA
About the family: Although the U12 sequence is very divergent from that of U2, the two are functionally analogous.
Source: Ensembl